GCUCAAUAGUUUCAGGAAAACUCUAUUAGUCAGUUAGUGAAUGAUCAUUGUUUCUUUUGGUAUUUUAUAGGUUGGGAGAUGUUGGAGGAUGCAGCGAGCUCUGUUUUUGUAUCACUACCUUUGCUUCUUGGGGCAAUUUGGAGUCAUGGCCCUCCUGUGUCUGAAUUUUAGUUCUCCUCAUGGAUGACCUACAAUCAGGUCUGUAAGUCAUGGCAUGCCAGAGUUUUGAUGUGACUUCUGACAAGACACUCGUCCCACACAGAAGCCACGGAGAGAGCUCAGGAAGUUGGUCAUCAUCGCUGAGCUGGGAACUUCACUUCCGGCCCACUCCCCAGUCUCCAGACCCGGCUCUUAGAAAACCCACAAGCAGCAGCUCCUCCUCCGGAGCCAAUCAAGACCAGGCCUACAGAGUACUGAAGCCCUGGUCCAUAGACUUGCCACGUGAUUUCCCCUCCCCUUAGGUCACCCAGGGAUGCUUUGCUCAUUAAACCUGGACUUUCAA
Molecule: non-coding RNA, 502 nt
Organism: Peromyscus maniculatus bairdii (prairie deer mouse)
Lineage: Eukaryota; Metazoa; Chordata; Mammalia; Rodentia; Cricetidae
Source: RefSeq, a predicted model, not a curated record